RNAcentral lists this transfer RNA (469 nucleotides) under bovine gut metagenome. RNAcentral describes it as "Giant, ornate, lake- and Lactobacillales-derived (GOLLD) RNA". It matches the Rfam family "Giant, ornate, lake- and Lactobacillales-derived (GOLLD) RNA". The record is from RNAcentral.
AGGUGUUGAGCAUUUUGUGGCUCCAAAGGUUACAAAACUCAUCCUACUGCACAUCUACAGCCAGAAUAAAUUUUUGAGUUUGCCAAGUGGUAAGGCAAAACCAUGCGAAGGUUUGUACCGUGGGUUCGAUUCCCUCACUCAGAGCCAUAUAGUUAAAAAAAUUAAUAAACUGUUAAUUUAUUAAAAGCAAAAGUCAGUAGGGGCUUUGAACGAAAAUACGUUAAACCCGUAGCAGCAAUGCAAUACGGGAUGAUGGAGUUCGCAAGACAAAAUCAUUUGAUUGAAGAAUUAGGCAUUUAGAGAGUUCGUACACCUCUUUAAAGGUUGAAAGUAGGUCGAGUAGUUCAAAGGUACACGGAAAAAGCUAUCCGUAAAAAAGCACGUAUGACACGUACCUAGCGAAAGUUAGGUGGAAAUAAGUCUAACUCAUAAGGACUUUAAAGUGUGUUACAUUUAUCUGUAUUCUCAG